RNAcentral lists this ribosomal RNA (253 nucleotides) under uncultured bacterium. Its description in RNAcentral is "partial 16S ribosomal RNA". It matches the Rfam family "Bacterial small subunit ribosomal RNA", at positions 524 to 776 of the family's 1533-position model. The record is from RNAcentral.
UACGUAGGGGGCAAGCGUUGUCCGGAUUUAUUGGGCGUAAAGAGCGUGUAGGCGGCCAGAUAGGUCAGCUGUGAAAACUCGAGGCUCAACCUCGAGACGCCGGUUGAAACCAUCUGGCUAGAGUCCGGAAGAGGCGAGUGGAAUUCCUGGUGUAGCGGUGAAAUGCGCAGAUAUCAGGAGGAACACCAAUUGCGAAGGCAGCUCGCUGGGACGUUACUGACGCUGAGACGCGAAAGCGUGGGGAGCAAACAGG